AGGAAGCACACUUAGGUCAUAGAUUAAGCCAUGCAAGUGUUAGUUCAGGGAAACGAAACUGCGAACAGCUCAGUAAUACGCUGAGAAUCUAAUUGGCAGCGACCAUCAGGUUUUAGUUGGAUAGCAGCAGUAAUUCUGGUGCUAAUACAUGCAAUUGUUCCAUCGGAAGUGAAGUACGAAGGAAAAGUUGACCGAGAGGCAAGCCAUUCGAUUGAGCGACCUAUCAGCUUGUACUUAGGGUCUUUACCUAGGUAGGCUAUCACGGGUAACGGGCGGUUACCGUCGGACUGCCGGAGAAGGCGCCUGAGAGAUAGCGACUAUAUCUACGGGUAGCAGCAGGCGCGAAACUUACCCACUCGAGACGUUCGGAGGUGGUAAUGACGAGUUUCAAGUCAGCUCCAUACGGGGUUGCUUGAAUAGGAUUACACAUUUCCAGUGUAGUGAAACCUAGCAGAGGGCCAGUCUGGUGCCAGCAGCUGCGGUAAUUCCAGCUCUGCGAGUUUGCUCCCAUGUUGUUGCAGUUAAAACGCCCGUAGUCUGAAGUACGAAGUUUGAGCGGCCACAAACCGCGUUCACUGUGAACAAAUCAGGACGCUUAGUGUAAGGUUACAAGAAUGACACAGCGCAGUAUGAAAUCUUUACCGAAGGUAAGAUCAACGAGAGCCAUCGGGGGUAGAUCUAUUUCAUGGCGAGCGGUGGAAUGCUAUAACCCAUGAGAGAGAAACGAAGGCGAAGGCGUCUACCUAGCGGGUUUCUGUCGAUCAAGGGCGAGAGUAGGAGUAUCGAACCGGAUUAGAGACCCGGGUAGUUCCUACCUUAAACGAUGCCGACAGGGGCUUAUCCUCAGUAGAGGGUAGGAUCCUAGGAGAAAUCAUAGUUCUUGGGCUCUGGGGGAACUACGACCGCAAGGCUGAAACUUGAAGGAAUUGACGGAAGGGCACACCAGGGGUGGAGCUUGUGGCUUAAUUUGAAUCAACACGGGGAAACUUACCAGGACCAGAUGUUUUAUAGGACUGACAGGCUUAAGGUCUUUCAGGAUUUGACUAUUGGUGGCGCAUGGCCGUUGGUGGUGCGUGGGUUGACCUGUCUAGCGUUGAUUCAGAUAACGAGCGAGAUUACCACCAAUUACUAGUUCUGUCUUGCGCAGAAAGCAUGGUCUGAAUUGGGACUCCCUGCGUCUAAGCAGGAGGAGGAAGGUAGCAAUAACAGGUCCGUGAUGUCCUUUAGAUGCCCUGGGCUGCACGCGCGCUACAAUGUGAGGAUCAAAGAGUUACUGUCCACGACAGGGUAAGUUACUCUGAUAAAACCUCACGUACCUGGGAUUGGUGGUUGUAAUCAGCACCAUGAACCAGGAAUCCCUUGUAAGCGUGUGUCAACAACGCACGUUGAAUACGUCCCUGCCCUUUGUACACACCGCCCGUCGCUCCUACCGAUGGAUGAUUCGGUGAAAUCACUAGAGGGUACGCUCGAAGGUGAUUAAACCAUAUUAUCUAGA
This 1495-nucleotide ribosomal RNA is filed under the name Calonympha grassii. RNAcentral's name for it is "SSU rRNA". It matches the Rfam family "Eukaryotic small subunit ribosomal RNA". Lineage: Eukaryota; Parabasalia; Cristamonadida. The record is from RNAcentral.